Molecule: non-coding RNA, 73 nt
Organism: Podarcis lilfordi (Lilford's wall lizard)
Lineage: Eukaryota; Metazoa; Chordata; Lepidosauria; Squamata; Lacertidae
Source: the annotation of a GenBank genome assembly
GCUGGGAUGGCUAAGCUGGUACGGCAUGAGACUCUUAAUCUCAAAGUUGUGGGUUUGAGCCCCACAUUGGGCA